Molecule: long non-coding RNA, 560 nt
Organism: Actinia tenebrosa (Australian red waratah sea anemone)
Lineage: Eukaryota; Metazoa; Cnidaria; Anthozoa; Actiniaria; Actiniidae
Source: RefSeq, a predicted model, not a curated record
CAGAUAUCCCAACCAUUUCUUUCUUUUGUCUUUCACAGUGCUUCAGAUAUCCCAACCAUAUAUUUCUUUUCUCUUUCACAGUGCUUCAGAUAUCCCAAUUAUUUUCGUCUUGUGCUGACCACACCAGAAGAAAUGACGAAAGAAGCUUGCUUACGGAUCACAGAGUUCUGUCAAACGCACAGAAAACAACCAAUCAUUAACGGCUGCAAUGGACAGAAUUCGGACGACGAUCACGACAAGUAGCUAGUCCAACGGCACCUCAAAAGAACUUCAAAAACCUAGACGUCUGGAGGCUUCCAAGGCUACAAGGGACUGAUGAAAAUCACUUUAAGUAAGCUCUGAUGGAUCUUUUCAGCUUGGACGUAAUGUUUUCUCAUUCCACAACCCGUGUCCUUCCCUAGUCACAUGAAUAUGGAUACCACUCAAACAAAGGAUCUUAUUCACAAGAGAAUGACACGUGGUCUGUAAAAAGAAGGCAUUACGAACAAGCCGAAAAGAUCUAUUGUUUAAUUUUAGCAAGCCAAAACUAGGCGAACAGUAAAGCAGUUUCAUUUAUUUAA